Molecule: ribosomal RNA, 114 nt
Filed under: Zingiber officinale
Lineage: Eukaryota; Viridiplantae; Streptophyta; Magnoliopsida; Zingiberales; Zingiberaceae
Source: RNAcentral
GCUAUUAUACCAGCACAAUUGCACCGGAUCCCAUCAGAACUCCGAAGUAAAGUGUGCUUGGGCGAGAGCAGUACUAGGAUGGGUGACCCCCAGGGAAGUCCUCGUGUUGCACCU